This 567-nucleotide long non-coding RNA is filed under the name Mytilus galloprovincialis (Mediterranean mussel). The record is from RNAcentral. Lineage: Eukaryota; Metazoa; Mollusca; Bivalvia; Mytilida; Mytilidae.
CGUAACUUUCUAUCCAGGCGUAUAAGCCAACAUCGACAAGUGCGUACAUUUUUUAAAUCAAUAUUUUUGGAAUGUUCCAGUCUGUCCUUUACUAUUGACAAAUUACAUUUUCCCAAAUUAGCCCUCGGAAAAAAUAUGUAUAUAGAUUUUUAUUUCUUCAAAUCUUUUUUUUUUUUUGUGGUAUUUUUUAUAUUUUCAUAAAUAAUAUUCUUUACACCAGAAAUGUUAUUUAUAAACAAGCGUACGAGUUAAGUUAUUGGCAUCAUAUCACUUUCGGACACACAAGACAGAGAUGUGUAUUAUACACCUGAUAGUUCAAAAUGGAAAGUUAUUAGUCUGCCGUGUACACUGAUCAAUACCUACAGAAGUGAAACGAUGCAUGAACUUGCAAGCCCGACAGGAAAUCGCUUGAAUACCUGGACGUGUCACCUGAGUCCUCACACCCCUCACAAUACCUUUGGGAGUAAUACCUUUAGCCAUGCUAGUGAUCAGAUGAGGAAAGAUCCGAAUUUAUUUGAAUAAAGUUUAUUACUUUAAAGAAUUAUGAAAACAAUUUUCACGGAACAC